CUACGGGGUGCUGCAGUGAGGAAUAUUGCACAAUGGGGGGAACCCUGAUGCAGCAACGCCGCGUGGAGGAUGAUGCAUUUCGGUGUGUAAACUCCUUUUAUAUGUCAAGAAAAUGACGGUAGCAUAUGAAUAAGCACCGGCUAACUCCGUGCCAGCAGCCGCGGUAAUAUGGAGGGUGCAAGCGUUACUCGGAAUCACUGGGCGUAAAGGACGCGUAGGCGGGUUGGAAAGUCAGGUGUGAAAUCCUACAGCUUAACUGUAGAACUGCACUUGAAACUUCUAAUCUAGAGUAUGGGAGGGGGAGAUGGAAUUAGUGGUGUAGGGGUAAAAUCCGUAGAUAUCACUAGGAAUACCUAAAGCGAAGGCGAUCUCCUGGAACAUUACUGACGCUAAGGCGUGAAAGCGUGGGGAGCAAACAGGAUUAGAUACCCUGGUAGUC
RNAcentral lists this ribosomal RNA (439 nucleotides) under uncultured bacterium. RNAcentral describes it as "partial 16S ribosomal RNA". It matches the Rfam family "Bacterial small subunit ribosomal RNA", at positions 339 to 795 of the family's 1533-position model. The record is from RNAcentral.